GACGAACGCUGGCGGCGUGCUUAACACAUGCAAGUCGAACGGAAAGGCCCUGCUUUUGUGGGGUGCUCGAGUGGCGAACGGGUGAGUAACACGUGAGUAACCUGCCCUUGACUUUGGGAUAACUUCAGGAAACUGGGGCUAAUACCGGAUAGGAGCCCCUGCUGCAUGGUGGGGGUUGGAAAGUCUCGGCGGUUGGGGAUGGACUCGCGGCUUAUCAGCUUGUUGGUGGGGUAGUGGCUUACCAAGGCUUUGACGGGUAGCCGGCCUGAGAGGGUGACCGGCCACAUUGGGACUGAGAUACGGCCCAGACUCCUACGGGAGGCAGCAGUGGGGAAUAUUGCACAAUGGGCGGAAGCCUGAUGCAGCAACGCCGCGUGCGGGAUGACGGCCUUCGGGUUGUAAACCGCUUUCGCCUGUGACGAAGCGUGAGUGACGGUAAUGGGUAAAGAAGCACCGGCUAACUACGUG
RNAcentral lists this ribosomal RNA (468 nucleotides) under uncultured bacterium. RNAcentral describes it as "partial 16S ribosomal RNA". It matches the Rfam family "Bacterial small subunit ribosomal RNA", at positions 28 to 507 of the family's 1533-position model. The record is from RNAcentral.